This 420-nucleotide ribosomal RNA is filed under the name Fusobacteriota bacterium. RNAcentral describes it as "Fusobacteria bacterium partial 16S ribosomal RNA". It matches the Rfam family "Bacterial small subunit ribosomal RNA", at positions 355 to 776 of the family's 1533-position model. The record is from RNAcentral. Lineage: Bacteria; Fusobacteriati; Fusobacteriota.
UGGGGGAUAUUGCACAAUGGGCGAAAGCCUGAUGCAGCGACGCCGCGUGGGGGAUGAAGGCCUUCGGGUUGUAAACUUCUUUUGCUCUGAACAAGGCAUGCCUUUGGGGUGUGUUGUGUGUAGGGGUUGAUUAGCGCCGGCUAACUACGUGCCAGCAGCCGCGGUAAUCCGUAGGGCGCGAGCGUUGUCCGGAAUUAUUGGGCGUAAAGGGCUUGUAGGUGGCUGGUUGCGUCUGUCGUGAAAGCUCAUGGCUUAACUGUGGGUUUGCGGUGGGUACGGGCUGGCUUGAGUGCAGUAGGGGAGGCUGGAAUUCCUGGUGUAGCGGUGGAAUGCGCAGAUAUCAGGAGGAAUACCGGUGGCGAAGGCGGGUCUCUGGGCUGUUACUGACGCUGAGGAGCGAAAGCGUGGGGAGCGAACAGG